GUGCUUGCUUUGGCAGCACAUAUACUAAAAUUGGAAUGAAACAUAGAUUACCAUGGUCCCUGUAUAAGAAUUACCCAGAAAUUCAUGAAGUAUUUCAUACUUUU
Molecule: small nuclear RNA, 104 nt
Organism: Sorex araneus (European shrew)
Lineage: Eukaryota; Metazoa; Chordata; Mammalia; Eulipotyphla; Soricidae
Source: Ensembl